UCGUAUUCUGGGAAAUCCGUGUGUUUUUCGAAAACUAAAAAUUAGUUGAGAACUCUAGCUACUAAAUUGAUCGCUAACCUCUCGAGGGGUUGGAAUAUAUAGAGUACCCUCACGUUACCAUGAGUCGAGGAUGCCCAACGAUAACCAAACCCCCAAACACUCCUCCUCGGGGUACUUGUCUCUUUGUGAAUUUCCUAAC
RNAcentral lists this long non-coding RNA (199 nucleotides) under Hordeum vulgare. RNAcentral's name for it is "long non-coding RNA (HVUL_LNC018420)". The record is from RNAcentral. Lineage: Eukaryota; Viridiplantae; Streptophyta; Magnoliopsida; Poales; Poaceae.